GAUGAACGCUAGCGGCAGGCUUAAUACAUGCAAGGCGAGGGGGCAGCAAUGUCACCGUCGUACGGGUGCGUAACGCGUAUGCAACCUACCUUCAACUGGGGGAUAGCCCGGGGGAAACCCGGAUUAAUACCGCAUGACACAUUGGUAUAGCAUUAUAUUAAUUGUUAAAGAUUUAUUGGUUGAAGAUGGGCAUGCGUUCG
This 200-nucleotide ribosomal RNA is filed under the name uncultured bacterium. RNAcentral's name for it is "partial 16S ribosomal RNA". It matches the Rfam family "Bacterial small subunit ribosomal RNA", at positions 28 to 239 of the family's 1533-position model. The record is from RNAcentral.